CUGAGGUAAAGAGCUGCCUCAUCCUCCUCUCUGCUCUACUUGAAUUCAUGAGGAGACAUGAAGUACUGAAAGGAGGGUGGGGAUGUUGCUAAUGAGCAGUAGCACUUGUAUGCAGUCUUCAUUACCACAGACCCACAUUACCACAGUCUGUCCUGUCCAUCCUCUCUGUAC
Bufo bufo (common toad) is the source of this 171-nucleotide long non-coding RNA. RefSeq lists it as uncharacterized. The transcript is spliced from 2 exons. NCBI's taxonomy places the organism in Eukaryota, Metazoa, Chordata, Amphibia, Anura, Bufonidae. The record is from RefSeq and is a predicted model, not a curated record.